RNAcentral lists this ribosomal RNA (896 nucleotides) under uncultured archaeon. RNAcentral's name for it is "bacterial SSU rRNA". It matches the Rfam family "Archaeal small subunit ribosomal RNA", at positions 17 to 921 of the family's 1478-position model. The record is from RNAcentral.
CCGGACCUGACUGCUAUCGGAUUGGUACUAAGCCAUAUGAGUCAUUGUAGCAAUACAAGGCAUACGGCUCAGUAACACGUGGUCAAUCUAACCUAUGGACGUGGAUAACCUCGGGAAACUGAGAAUAAUCCGCGAUAGAUCAUUAUGCCUGGAACGGUUUAUGGUCGAAAUGAUUCGUCGCCAUAGGAUGGGACUGCGGCCUAUCAGCUUGUUGGUGAGGUAAUGGCCCACCAAGGCUAUUACAGGUACGGGCUCUGAGAGGAGAAGCCCGGAGAUGGGUACUGAGACACGGACCCAGGCCCUAUGGGGCGCAGCAGGCGAGAAACCUUUGCAAUGUGCGCAAGCACGACUAGGUUAAUCCGAGUGGUUCCUGCUAAAGGAACCUUUUGUCAGUCGUAAAACCAUAGACGAAUAAGGGGUGGGCAAGUCUGGUGUCAGCCGCCGCGGUAAUACCAGCACCUCGAGUGGUCAGGAGGUUCAUUGGGCCUAAAGCAUCCGUAGCCGGCUAUGCAAGUCUCCGGUUAAAUCCAACUGCUCAACAGAUGGGCUGCCGGAGAUACUACACAGCUAGGGAGCGGGAGAGGUAGACGGUAUUCUGUGGGUAGGGGUAAAAUCCACUGAUCCAUAGAGGACCACCAGUGGCGAAGGCGGUCUACCAGAACGCGUUCGACGGUGAGGGAUGAAAGCUGGGGGAGCAAACCGGAUUAGAUACCCGGGUAGUUCCAGCUGUAAACGAUGCAAACUCGGUGAUGCAUUGACUUAUGGUCAAUGCAGUGCCGCAGGGAAGCCGUUAAGUUUGCCGCCUGGGAAGUACGGACGCAAGUCUGAAACUUAAAGGAAUUGGCGGGGGAGCACCACAAGGGUGAAGCCUGCGGUUCAAUUGGAUUCAACGCCGG